RNAcentral lists this ribosomal RNA (113 nucleotides) under Acanthosepion pharaonis. The record is from RNAcentral. Lineage: Eukaryota; Metazoa; Mollusca; Cephalopoda; Sepiida; Sepiidae.
CCUGCGACCAUAUCGCGUUGAAACACUAGUUCUUGUACGAUCACCGAAGUUAAGCAACGUCGAACCUGGUCAAUACCUAGAUGAGUGACCGCUUGGGAAUACCAGAUGUUGAA